RNAcentral lists this ribosomal RNA (572 nucleotides) under uncultured bacterium. RNAcentral describes it as "partial 16S ribosomal RNA". It matches the Rfam family "Bacterial small subunit ribosomal RNA", at positions 355 to 920 of the family's 1533-position model. The record is from RNAcentral.
UGGGGAAUUUUGGACAAUGGGCGAAAGCCUGAUCCAGCAAUGCCGCGUGUGUGAAGAAGGCCUUCGGGUUGUAAAGCACUUUUGUCCGGAAAGAAAUCCUUGGCUCUAAUACAGUCGGGGGAUGACGGUACCGGAAGAAUAAGCACCGGCUAACUACGUGCCAGCAGCCGCGGUAAUACGUAGGGUGCAAGCGUUAAUCGGAAUUACUGGGCGUAAAGCGUGCGCAGGCGGUUUGCUAAGACCGAUGUGAAAUCCCCGGGCUCAACCUGGGAACUGCAUUGGUGACUGGCAGGCUAGAGUAUGGCAGAGGGGGGUAGAAUUCCACGUGUAGCAGUGAAAUGCGUAGAGAUGUGGAGGAAUACCGAUGGCGAAGGCAGCCCCCUGGGCCAAUACUGACGCUUAUGCACGAAAGCGUGGGGAGCAAACAGGAUUAGAUACCCUGGUAGUCCACGCCCUAAACGAUGUCAACUAGUUGUUGGGGAUUCAUUUCCUUAGUAACGUAGCUAACGCGUGAAGUUGACCGCCUGGGGAGUACGGUCGCAAGAUUAAAACUUAAAUGAAUUGACGGGGUC